RNAcentral lists this transfer RNA (87 nucleotides) under Coxiellaceae bacterium. Its description in RNAcentral is "tRNA-Leu". It matches the Rfam family "tRNA". From Rfam's summary of the family: Transfer RNA (tRNA) molecules are approximately 80 nucleotides in length. Their secondary structure includes four short double-helical elements and three loops (D, anti-codon, and T loops). Further hydrogen bonds mediate the characteristic L-shaped molecular structure. tRNAs have two regions of fundamental functional importance: the anti-codon, which is responsible for specific mRNA codon recognition, and the 3' end, to which the tRNAs corresponding amino acid is attached (by aminoacyl-tRNA synthetases). tRNAs cope with the degeneracy of the genetic code in two manners: having more than one tRNA (with a specific anti-codon) for a particular amino acid; and 'wobble' base-pairing, i.e. permitting non-standard base-pairing at the 3rd anti-codon position. Lineage: Bacteria; Pseudomonadati; Pseudomonadota; Gammaproteobacteria; Legionellales; Coxiellaceae. The record is from RNAcentral.
GCCGAGAUGGUGAAAUUGGUAGACACGCAAGUUUCAGGUACUUGUGGGGGCGACCCCGUGGAGGUUCAAGUCCUCUUCUCGGCACCA